Molecule: ribosomal RNA, 424 nt
Filed under: uncultured bacterium
Lineage: Bacteria
Description: partial 16S ribosomal RNA
Rfam family: Bacterial small subunit ribosomal RNA
Source: RNAcentral
AAUCUUCCGCAAGGGACGAAAGUCUGACGGCGCAACGCCGCGUGAGUGAUGAAGGUUUUCGGAUCGUAAAACUCUGUUGUUAGGGAAGAACAAGUAUCGGAAUAACUGCCGGUACCUUGACGGUACCUAACUAGAAAGCCACGGCUAACUACGUUCCAGCAGCCGCGGUAAUACGUAGGUGGCAAGCGUUGUCCGGAAUUAUUGGGCGUAAAGCGCGCGCAGGCGGUCUUUUAAGUCUGAUGUGAAAGCCCCCGGCUCAACCGGGGAGGGUCAUUGGAAACUGGGAGACUUGAGUGCAGAAGAGAAGAGUGGAAUUCCACGUGUAGCGGUGAAAUGCGUAGAGAUGUGGAGGAACACCAGUGGCGAAGGCGACUCUUUGGUCUGUAACUGACGCUGAGGCGCGAAAGCGUGGGGAGCAAACAGG